UGAGGAAUAUUGGGCAAUGCCCGCAAGGGUGACCCAGCAACGCCGCGUGGAGGAUGAAUGUCGUAAGAUUGUAAACUCCUGUUAGAGGGGAAGAAUAGUACCGGUUGGACCGGUAUAUGACUGUACCCUCAGAGAAAGCCCCGGCUAACUACGUGCCAGCAGCCGCGGUAAUACGUAGGGGGCAAGCGUUGUCCGGAUUUCCUGGGUGUAAAGGGCGCGCAGGCGUGAUAAAAAGUCAGUGGUGAAAUCCUACAGCUUAACUGUAGAACUGCCUUUGAUACUUUUAUUCUGGAGUUCGGGGGAGAGAGAAGGAAUGCCGGGUGUAGUGGUGAAAUACGUAGAUAUCUGGAAGAACACCAGUUGCGAAGGCGGUCUCUUGGUCCGACACUGACGCUGAGGCGCGAAAGCGUGGGGAGCAAACA
This 422-nucleotide ribosomal RNA is filed under the name uncultured bacterium. Its description in RNAcentral is "bacterial SSU rRNA". It matches the Rfam family "Bacterial small subunit ribosomal RNA", at positions 355 to 774 of the family's 1533-position model. The record is from RNAcentral.